This 904-nucleotide long non-coding RNA is filed under the name Phoenix dactylifera (date palm). Its description in RNAcentral is "long non-coding RNA (PDAC_LNC008247)". Lineage: Eukaryota; Viridiplantae; Streptophyta; Magnoliopsida; Arecales; Arecaceae. The record is from RNAcentral.
ACCUGCACCCAUGGAAGCAAAGCCGCCAAGGUGUCAACUACCAAACCAAUAGGCUUAUUAGCGAUCAUGAAAAUUAGCAUAGAAUCACAGGUAAUUAGUUUGCUUAAAAUGGAGUUAAUGAUGAUUAAAGCAUGCCUGCUUCAAUGAAAAUUAUGAUGAAAAAGGAUUCCAAAGACAUAAGCUUCUAACGUGAAAUCUAAGAUACAACUAGCAGCAAAGGGAGAUACACAAUUACAAAUUAUCCAUGUCAUUCAUAUUCAGUACUCAUGGUGAUAUUUACAGACAGGAUUGGUUGGUAUCCUCAUCUUUUAAAUAUACUAGCUGUGCUAUUGCACACUCUUAGUGUAGUUUUUUUUUUGUCUAAAAUGAAUGGAAAAAUUUUCGAGCUUUAUUUGUAUGGGGAAAAAAAGGUUCUUUGUACUAGGUUAGUUUUUUUUUUUUUUUUUUGUUAUGAUUUCCCCUUUUAGCUCAUCAGUGGGUGCUCUUAUCAUCCAUAAUUGCUAAAAUUACACACAAUGUUAAUAGGAUAGGAUUUAUUUUAAGUCCAUUGCAAAGCAGAAAUAAGGAGUUUCCCCUUUUGAAUGGGAUGCUGGUAAAAAGGGCUUUAAGAUCCGUGAAAUUACGUGCACAUCCGACCAUCUGCUGUACAUGGCGCACCUAAAACACACCCAAGUUGACACCACCUUGUAAUUAAUUACGAGUCGGUGCAUGCAUCACAAGUUAUCAACCAACAGAGUUGACUUGGUCAAAAUAGCCAACGGGACAAAAAGGAAGUCCAGAUCGGAGUAGAAAUCUCGUGGAAUCAAUCGAAGAAGUAAGUGAGACCCGGUGGUCCCACUUCAGAAAAUAGUACACUUCCAACAAGCCAAAUUAAUUCGCUAAUAAAUGACAUGGAAAAACUCNN